Molecule: ribosomal RNA, 509 nt
Filed under: Ptycta giffardi
Lineage: Eukaryota; Metazoa; Arthropoda; Insecta; Psocodea; Psocidae
Description: partial 16S ribosomal RNA
Rfam family: Bacterial large subunit ribosomal RNA (bases 376-509)
Source: RNAcentral
AAAACAUGUCUUUUUGAUAAAAAUUUAAAGUCAGGUCUGCUCACUGAAUUAUUUAAAGAGCCGCAGUAUAUUGACUGUGCAAAGGUAGCAUAAUCAAUAGUUUUUUAAUUGGAAACUAGAAUGAAAGAUUAGACGAAAAAUUAAUUUUCUUUGUUUUAAUAAAUUUAAUUUUAAAUUUAAGUGAAAAUGCUUAAAUAUAAUUAAAAGACGAGAAGACCCUAUAGAUUUUUAUUAUUGAAAUAAAUUUUUAAAUUUAAUUUAGUAAAAUAAUUUAAUUGGGGCGAUUUUAUAAUAUAGAUAACUUAAUUUUUUAAGACCAUAAAUAAUUGAAUAUUUGAUCUAAAAUUUUUAAAGAAAAGAUUAAAUUACCUUAGGGAUAACAGCGUAAUUUUAUUUAAGAGUUCAUAUCUAUAAUAAAGUUUGCGACCUCGAUGUUGAAUUAAGAUAAUAUAUUGGAGUAGAAAUUAAUAUAAUUAGUCUGUUCGACUAUUAAAUUCUUACGUGAUCUG